UUUUGUCACCCAGCCUGACAGCACUGGCAAUGGGAGCUUGGAGCUCAGGGCCUGCAUUCAGGGAAGCCCAUGGGGUAAGGGAGCUUGUCACUGAGAGGAAUAGCAGAUUUGUCCUUCCAAACAACCUGGUGUGACAGUGGGCUGUAAUCCUGUGAUUCAGUGAGGAUGACCCAUGGUAGGAUUGCCUGUGAGUUACUGGAAUGUGGUUCAGCAUUCUCUCCUCUGGUCUGGUCAGACAUCUGGCACUGAUGGCUGUAAACAGAAUGUGAUGUUUCUUCAGUCACACACCUUUUCCCUUGGCACUGAGCACUGUGGCUGGGAGGUGCAGCUGAAGAGGAAUUUGCUCAUUGCAAAGUGGAAAAGGCUGAGCCAGAAUAUUAUUUGCUGUUUGCCCUUGGAGAUGCUGCACCACUUGACUGUAAUUCAAGUCUUGUCACUGACUGGUUUCUCCUUCCAAGACACAUCUGCUAAUUGUUCUAUUCUUGGUAUAGAAACAGGGAGGAAGCCUUUUAGUCUGACCCAACCUGAGUUAAAUAUAAAAAUAAAAGUAUUUCACUAGUCACUGUCUAGAAUGAUUUCUGUUUUCUUCACCCUGCUGAUGGUGACCAAAAUCUUUGUCAAGACUUGCCUUUCUUUUCUGCUCUGAUUAAAGCUGUAUUUAAAAACCAUGUUUAAUACACCAGCAUGUUCUGUAUUUAUAGCUAUUAACUAUGGCACCAUUCCAAGUUCUAUUUUAAGACAGCUUUUGUUCAGUGUUUGUGUGAUGCUCCAAUUUCUGUAUCCUCCCAGUGCAAUGGGGGCUUCUGUUCCUCUGCUACACUGCAAGUUUUAUUUUAAGCUCCUUGUUAAAGCUCAGCAGAUGUGUAUUUAUCAUCUGGGUGAUUAUCUGACAUUGUUGAAUAAUUGCAUCUUUUAAUGUUUAGCAGCUAAAGCUGCUCGUCAGGCCUUUUGGUAUUACCCUUCCUCUUGUUGCUCCUUUAACAAACAAUGCCUUGCUUCUCCAAUUGUCUCCAGUACUUUGGUAUUUUGGGCUAUUUUAUUUUUCAUCUCAGGUUUCCCAGGAGAUGAAGAUGGCAUAUUUUUAUCUGAAAUAUAUUCCAGAGACUUGCUGAUGAGGUUGUGCUAUGUCAGUUUGUGCCUUCACACAGGGACUAUUUUUGAGCUAGAGGUUUCCAGAUCAGCUUACAGAAUAGACUCCAGAUGGUCUGGAAUCCUUCUUUAGUGAUCUAUAGCUAAUCAAACAUUCAGCACAAACAAUGUCUGUUUUUAAAGCUGAGCACAGUCUUUCAGAAAAGCAGCAUAUUGAUCUCUAACUUUACUUUUCAUAAUUUCUUUUAUUUCAUUAUUGUGUUUUUCAUUACUUGUUUUGUUGUUGUGUGGCUCAGGAGCUGUGAGGCACCUUGUGUCUUACAUUUCAAUCAAUAAAGGAAAUUAAUAAGGCCUUUGUGGGCCA
This 1453-nucleotide long non-coding RNA is filed under the name Zonotrichia albicollis (white-throated sparrow). Its description in RNAcentral is "lncRNA (ENSZALG00000015613.1)". The record is from RNAcentral. Lineage: Eukaryota; Metazoa; Chordata; Aves; Passeriformes; Passerellidae.